Molecule: ribosomal RNA, 254 nt
Filed under: uncultured bacterium
Lineage: Bacteria
Description: partial 16S ribosomal RNA
Rfam family: Bacterial small subunit ribosomal RNA
Source: RNAcentral
UACGUAGGGUGCGAGCGUUUGUCCGGAAUUAUUGGGCGUAAAGAGCUCGUAGGCGGUUUGUCGCGUCGACUGUGAAAACCUACAGCUUAACUGUGGGCUUGCAGUCGAUACGGGCAGACUUGAGUUCGGUAGGGGAGACUGGAAUUCCUGGUGUAGCGGUGAAAUGCGCAGAUAUCAGGAGGAACACCGGUGGCGAAGGCAGGUCUCUGGGCAUUAACUGACGCUGAGGAGCGAAAGCAUGGGGAGCGAACAGG